AGCUUUGCGCAGUGGCAGUAUCGUAGCCAAUGAGGUUUAUCCGAGGCGCGAUUAUUGCUAAUAGAAGAGAAGUUCAGGGGUGCCUGGGUGCUUGGUUGAGCACCCAACUCUUGAUUUCAGCUCAGGUCAUGAUCUCAGAGUUG
This is a small nuclear RNA of Lutra lutra (Eurasian river otter), 143 nucleotides long. RefSeq annotates it as U4 spliceosomal RNA. NCBI's taxonomy places the organism in Eukaryota, Metazoa, Chordata, Mammalia, Carnivora, Mustelidae. The transcript has a single exon. The record is from RefSeq and is a predicted model, not a curated record.